Molecule: ribosomal RNA, 1358 nt
Filed under: uncultured bacterium
Lineage: Bacteria
Description: bacterial SSU rRNA
Rfam family: Bacterial small subunit ribosomal RNA
Source: RNAcentral
GAUGAACGCUAGCUACAGGCUUAACACAUGCAAGUCGAGGGGCAGCAUGGUCUUAGCUUGCUAAGGCCGAUGGCGACCGGCGCACGGGUGAGUAACACGUAUCCAACCUGCCGUCUACUCUUGGACAGCCUUCUGAAAGGAAGAUUAAUACAAGAUGGCAUCAUGAGUCCACAUGUUCACAUGAUUAAAGGUAUUCCGGUAGACGAUGGGGAUGCGUUCCAUUAGAUAGUAGGCGGGGUAACGGCCCACCUAGUCUUCGAUGGAUAGGGGUUCUGAGAGGAAGGUCCCCCACAUUGGAACUGAGACACGGUCCAAACUCCUACGGGAGGCAGCAGUGAGGAAUAUUGGUCAAUGGGCGAGAGCCUGAACCAGCCAAGUAGCGUGAAGGAUGACUGCCCUAUGGGUUGUAAACUUCUUUUAUAAAGGAAUAAAGUCGGGUAUGCAUACCCGUUUGCAUGUACUUUAUGAAUAAGGAUCGGCUAACUCCGUGCCAGCAGCCGCGGUAAUACGGAGGAUCCGAGCGUUAUCCGGAUUUAUUGGGUUUAAAGGGAGCGUAGAUGGAUGUUUAAGUCAGUUGUGAAAGUUUGCGGCUCAACCGUAAAAUUGCAGUUGAUACUGGAUAUCUUGAGUGCAGUUGAGGCAGGCGGAAUUCGUGGUGUAGCGGUGAAAUGCUUAGAUAUCACGAAGAACUCCGAUUGCGAAGGCAGCCUGCUAAGCUGCAACUGACAUUGAGGCUCGAAAGUGUGGGUAUCAAACAGGAUUAGAUACCCUGGUAGUCCACACGGUAAACGAUGAAUACUCGCUGUUUGCGAUAUACAGCAAGCGGCCAAGCGAAAGCGUUAAGUAUUCCACCUGGGGAGUACGCCGGCAACGGUGAAACUCAAAGGAAUUGACGGGGGCCCGCACAAGCGGAGGAACAUGUGGUUUAAUUCGAUGAUACGCGAGGAACCUUACCCGGGCUUAAAUUGCAGAUGAAUUACGGUGAAAGCCGUAAGCCGCAAGGCAUCUGUGAAGGUGCUGCAUGGUUGUCGUCAGCUCGUGCCGUGAGGUGUCGGCUUAAGUGCCAUAACGAGCGCAACCCUUGUUGUCAGUUACUAACAGGUUCCGCUGAGGACUCUGACAAGACUGCCAUCGUAAGAUGUGAGGAAGGUGGGGAUGACGUCAAAUCAGCACGGCCCUUACGUCCGGGGCUACACACGUGUUACAAUGGGGGGUACAGAGGGCCGCUACCACGCGAGUGGAUGCCAAUCCCCAAAACCUCUCUCAGUUCGGACUGGAGUCUGCAACCCGACUCCACGAAGCUGGAUUCGCUAGUAAUCGCGCUUCAGCCACGGCGCGGUGAAUACGUUCCCGGGCCU